This 466-nucleotide ribosomal RNA is filed under the name uncultured bacterium. RNAcentral describes it as "partial 16S ribosomal RNA". It matches the Rfam family "Bacterial small subunit ribosomal RNA", at positions 28 to 507 of the family's 1533-position model. The record is from RNAcentral.
GAUGAACGCUGGCGGCGUGCCUAAUACAUGCAAGUCGAGCGGACAGACGCGUGCUUGCCGCGUCACUCGUUUGCGGCACGCGUGUGUGUCACACGUGUGUAAUCCACUUCUCUUAGUGAGAAGACUUGGGAAAUCCGGAUAAAACCGCGGAUGACGAUUUGAACGAUGUGGUUCUGUAGUGAAUGUGCGGUGUGGGGUGAGCUCGCGGCUGAUCAGCUAGUUAGUGGGGUAAUGGCCUACUAAGGCGUUGACGGGUAGCCGGCCUGAGAGGGUCGACGCGGACAUUGGGACUGAGAUACGGCCCAGACUCCUACGGGAGGCAGCAGUGGGGAAUAUUGCACAGUGGGCGCAAGCCUGAUGCAGCGACGUCGGGUGGGGGAUGACGGCCUUCGAGUUGUAAACAACUGUCGCUAGGGACGAAGCGCAAGUGACGGUACCUGGAGAAGAAGCACCGGCUAACUACGUG